AUUGAACGCUGGCGGCAUGCUUUACACAUGCAAGUCGAGCGGCAGCGCGGGGGCAACCCUGGCGGCGAGCGGCGAACGGGUGAGUAAUACAUCGGAACGUACCCAGGAGUGGGGAUAGCCCGGCGAAAGCCGGAUUAAUACCGCAUACGAUCUUAGGAUGAAAGUGGGGGCUCGCAAGACCUCACGCUUUUGGAGCGGCCGAUGUCCGAUUAGCUAGUUGGUGGGGAAAGGCUUACCAAGGCGACGAUCGGUAGCUGGUCUGAGAGGAUGAUCAGCCACACUGGGACUGAGACACGGCCCAGACUCCUACGGGAGGCAGCAGUGGGGAAUUUUGGACAAGUGGGGGAACCUGAUCCAGCCAUGCCGCGUG
RNAcentral lists this ribosomal RNA (370 nucleotides) under uncultured bacterium. Its description in RNAcentral is "bacterial SSU rRNA". It matches the Rfam family "Bacterial small subunit ribosomal RNA", at positions 29 to 403 of the family's 1533-position model. The record is from RNAcentral.